RNAcentral lists this ribosomal RNA (465 nucleotides) under Vreelandella stevensii. RNAcentral describes it as "partial 16S ribosomal RNA". It matches the Rfam family "Bacterial small subunit ribosomal RNA", at positions 338 to 795 of the family's 1533-position model. The record is from RNAcentral. Lineage: Bacteria; Pseudomonadati; Pseudomonadota; Gammaproteobacteria; Oceanospirillales; Halomonadaceae.
CCUACGGGAGGCAGCAGUGGGGAAUAUUGGACAAUGGGGGGAACCCUGAUCCAGCCAUGCCGCGUGUGUGAAGAAGGCCCUCGGGUUGUAAAGCACUUUCAGUGAGGAAGAACGCCUGGUGGUUAAUACCCAUCAGGAAAGACAUCACUCACAGAAGAAGCACCGGCUAACUCCGUGCCAGCAGCCGCGGUAAUACGGAGGGUGCGAGCGUUAAUCGGAAUUACUGGGCGUAAAGCGCGCGUAGGUGGCUUGAUAAGCCGGUUGUGAAAGCCCCGGGCUCAACCUGGGAACGGCAUCCGGGACUGUCAAGCUAGAGUGCAGGAGAGGAAGGUAGAAUUCCCGGUGUAGCGGUGAAAUGCGUAGAGAUCGGGAGGAAUACCAGUGGCGAAGGCGGCCUUCUGGACUGACACUGACACUGAGGUGCGAAAGCGUGGGUAGCAAACAGGAUUAGGUACCCCGGUAGUC